RNAcentral lists this ribosomal RNA (447 nucleotides) under Triticum aestivum (bread wheat). RNAcentral's name for it is "partial small subunit ribosomal RNA". The record is from RNAcentral. Lineage: Eukaryota; Viridiplantae; Streptophyta; Magnoliopsida; Poales; Poaceae.
AUGCAGCGAGGCGCCACCAUCGACGCACAUGGCCUCUGUAGCUUUCUGGAACUCAUGGUCACCGGACUCAUCAUCCUCGUUGUGAUCAUCGUCUUCCUGCUUCUUGUCGCGGCCCCGGGCGAGCCUCUCCUGCUGAUUAUCUUUGUCGCGGCGGCCUCCUUGGGCGCCACGUUUUUUGCCGGAUCCAUCAUCACCCUCUUGGCCCUUUCCUUGUCCCGCCGCUCAUACUCGGCUUUCUGCUUCUUAGCGAGCAGCUCAACUUGCCAGCAGUUCCGGAGGUUGUGGCUUGGUGCGGUGGAUCUUGCAAUACUGCUUGUCGGAGCCCCCUGGCUUGUCGGCAGCCGCCAAGGCCCAGCAAGCGACACACCCGGUAACUUCCUUGUCAGGGUCGCUUGCCUUGCACUAGUAGAAAAGGGGGCAAUGGCCCAGGCCAGUUCAGCCCAUUAG